This is a long non-coding RNA of Pseudopipra pipra, 652 nucleotides long. RefSeq lists it as uncharacterized. The transcript is spliced from 3 exons. The record is from RefSeq and is a predicted model, not a curated record. Lineage: Eukaryota; Metazoa; Chordata; Aves; Passeriformes; Pipridae.
UGGGACAUGCCAGACAGUUUCCAUGAGGGCAUGUCCUCACAAUGAGAUGCUGGACCAUCCCAGAGUUGUGGCUGCGUGAGAAUAGGGGGAAAGGUGGCUUAUUUCCAGGGGGAGGGAGCUGUGGCUCACAUGAGCCACCGUGCACACAUCCAGGGACAAGGGAGCAGGAGGGUGAGCGGGGACAUUCCUCUGCGGUCACCGAGCCCAAGACACCAGGAUGGGGACAGAGAGACAAUGGUGGUGGUGGAGCUGGCCAAGAAGACCUUGUAGUGUGAGGGGAGGAAGAGUGAAGAAGCACAAGAUUUUCAAAGGCAGAUCUGACCAUGCAGCAGUCACGAGCCAUGCAAACAACUCACCCUUUGGAGGUCAAGAGCGGAGUAUGACACCUGUGAGUAAAUACUGGAUCCAGGACCUGGGAGGGCACCUCUUCCCUGCCAGCUGGUGACAGAGGAAUUUUUUUCCUGGUCCCUGGUCAAGAUGUUCUCAUCAAGAUAAAAUCUGAGGGGAAUGGCUCCUCCCGUCCUCACUGCCUGGACACCCGGGGCUGGCACAGCCUUGAAGCACUGCUGGACCCUGGCUCUCAAACCACCUUGUCCUUUCCAGUAAUUACUGUUUUGCAAUGUGAAAACAAUAAAAGUCUUGGGUCUGUUAA